RNAcentral lists this ribosomal RNA (253 nucleotides) under uncultured bacterium. Its description in RNAcentral is "partial 16S ribosomal RNA". It matches the Rfam family "Bacterial small subunit ribosomal RNA", at positions 524 to 776 of the family's 1533-position model. The record is from RNAcentral.
UACGUAGGGGGCAAGCGUUGUCCGGAAUCAUUGAGCGUAAAGAGCGUGUAGGCGGUCCGGUAAGUCGGUUGUGAAAGUCCAGGGCUCAACCCUGGGAUGCCGAUCGAUACUGUCGGACUAGAGUUCGGAAGAGGCGAGUGGAAUUCCCGGUGUAGCGGUGAAAUGCGCAGAUAUCGGGAGGAACACCAAUGGCGAAGGCAGCUCGCUGGGACGUUACUGACGCUGAGACGCGAAAGCGUGGGGAGCAAACAGG